This 2901-nucleotide ribosomal RNA is filed under the name Escherichia coli DEC13C. Its description in RNAcentral is "bacterial LSU rRNA". It matches the Rfam family "Bacterial large subunit ribosomal RNA". Lineage: Bacteria; Pseudomonadati; Pseudomonadota; Gammaproteobacteria; Enterobacterales; Enterobacteriaceae. The record is from RNAcentral.
UAAGCGACUAAGCGUACACGGUGGAUGCCCUGGCAGUCAGAGGCGAUGAAGGACGUGCUAAUCUGCGAUAAGCGUCGGUAAGGUGAUAUGAACCGUUAUAACCGGCGAUUUCCGAAUGGGGAAACCCAGUGUGAUUCGUCACACUAUCAUUAACUGAAUCCAUAGGUUAAUGAGGCGAACCGGGGGAACUGAAACAUCUAAGUACCCCGAGGAAAAGAAAUCAACCGAGAUUCCCCCAGUAGCGGCGAGCGAACGGGGAGCAGCCCAGAGCCUGAAUCAGUGUGUGUGUUAGUGGAAGCGUCUGGAAAGGCGCGCGAUACAGGGUGACAGCCCCGUACACAAAAAUGCACAUGCUGUGAGCUCGAUGAGUAGGGCGGGACACGUGGUAUCCUGUCUGAAUAUGGGGGGACCAUCCUCCAAGGCUAAAUACUCCUGACUGACCGAUAGUGAACCAGUACCGUGAGGGAAAGGCGAAAAGAACCCCGGCGAGGGGAGUGAAAAAGAACCUGAAACCGUGUACGUACAAGCAGUGGGAGCACAGAGCAAUCUGUGUGACUGCGUACCUUUUGUAUAAUGGGUCAGCGACUUAUAUUCUGUAGCAAGGUUAACCGAAUAGGGGAGCCGAAGGGAAACCGAGUCUUAACUGGGCGUUAAGUUGCAGGGUAUAGACCCGAAACCCGGUGAUCUAGCCAUGGGCAGGUUGAAGGUUGGGUAACACUAACUGGAGGACCGAACCGACUAAUGUUGAAAAAUUAGCGGAUGACUUGUGGCUGGGGGUGAAAGGCCAAUCAAACCGGGAGAUAGCUGGUUCUCCCCGAAAGCUAUUUAGGUAGCGCCUCGUGAAUUCAUCUCCGGGGGUAGAGCACUGUUUCGGCAAGGGGGUCAUCCCGACUUACCAACCCGAUGCAAACUGCGAAUACCGGAGAAUGUUAUCACGGGAGACACACGGCGGGUGCUAACGUCCGUCGUGAAGAGGGAAACAACCCAGACCGCCAGCUAAGGUCCCAAAGUCAUGGUUAAGUGGGAAACGAUGUGGGAAGGCCCAGACAGCCAGGAUGUUGGCUUAGAAGCAGCCAUCAUUUAAAGAAAGCGUAAUAGCUCACUGGUCGAGUCGGCCUGCGCGGAAGAUGUAACGGGGCUAAACCAUGCACCGAAGCUGCGGCAGCGACGCUUAUGCGUUGUUGGGUAGGGGAGCGUUCUGUAAGCCUGCGAAGGUGUGCUGUGAGGCAUGCUGGAGGUAUCAGAAGUGCGAAUGCUGACAUAAGUAACGAUAAAGCGGGUGAAAAGCCCGCUCGCCGGAAGACCAAGGGUUCCUGUCCAACGUUAAUCGGGGCAGGGUGAGUCGACCCCUAAGGCGAGGCCGAAAGGCGUAGUCGAUGGGAAACAGGUUAAUAUUCCUGUACUUGGUGUUACUGCGAAGGGGGGACGGAGAAGGCUAUGUUGGCCGGGCGACGGUUGUCCCGGUUUAAGCGUGUAGGCUGGUUUUCCAGGCAAAUCCGGAAAAUCAAGGCUGAGGCGUGAUGACGAGGCACUACGGUGCUGAAGCAACAAAUGCCCUGCUUCCAGGAAAAGCCUCUAAGCAUCAGGUAACAUCAAAUCGUACCCCAAACCGACACAGGUGGUCAGGUAGAGAAUACCAAGGCGCUUGAGAGAACUCGGGUGAAGGAACUAGGCAAAAUGGUGCCGUAACUUCGGGAGAAGGCACGCUGAUAUGUAGGUGAAGUCCCUCGCGGAUGGAGCUGAAAUCAGUCGAAGAUACCAGCUGGCUGCAACUGUUUAUUAAAAACACAGCACUGUGCAAACACGAAAGUGGACGUAUACGGUGUGACGCCUGCCCGGUGCCGGAAGGUUAAUUGAUGGGGUUAGCGCAAGCGAAGCUCUUGAUCGAAGCCCCGGUAAACGGCGGCCGUAACUAUAACGGUCCUAAGGUAGCGAAAUUCCUUGUCGGGUAAGUUCCGACCUGCACGAAUGGCGUAAUGAUGGCCAGGCUGUCUCCACCCGAGACUCAGUGAAAUUGAACUCGCUGUGAAGAUGCAGUGUACCCGCGGCAAGACGGAAAGACCCCGUGAACCUUACUAUAGCUUGACACUGAACAUUGAGCCUUGAUGUGUAGGAUAGGUGGGAGGCUUUGAAGUGUGGACGCCAGUCUGCAUGGAGCCGACCUUGAAAUACCACCCUUUAAUGUUUGAUGUUCUAACGUGGACCCGUAAUCCGGGUUGCGGACAGUGUCUGGUGGGUAGUUUGACUGGGGCGGUCUCCUCCUAAAGAGUAACGGAGGAGCACGAAGGUUGGCUAAUCCUGGUCGGACAUCAGGAGGUUAGUGCAAUGGCAUAAGCCAGCUUGACUGCGAGCGUGACGGCGCGAGCAGGUGCGAAAGCAGGUCAUAGUGAUCCGGUGGUUCUGAAUGGAAGGGCCAUCGCUCAACGGAUAAAAGGUACUCCGGGGAUAACAGGCUGAUACCGCCCAAGAGUUCAUAUCGACGGCGGUGUUUGGCACCUCGAUGUCGGCUCAUCACAUCCUGGGGCUGAAGUAGGUCCCAAGGGUAUGGCUGUUCGCCAUUUAAAGUGGUACGCGAGCUGGGUUUAGAACGUCGUGAGACAGUUCGGUCCCUAUCUGCCGUGGGCGCUGGAGAAUUGAGGGGGGCUGCUCCUAGUACGAGAGGACCGGAGUGGACGCAUCACUGGUGUUCGGGUUGUCAUGCCAAUGGCACUGCCCGGUAGCUAAAUGCGGAAGAGAUAAGUGCUGAAAGCAUCUAAGCACGAAACUUGCCCCGAGAUGAGUUCUCCCUGACUCCUUGAGAGUCCUGAAGGAACGUUGAAGACGACGACGUUGAUAGGCCGGGUGUGUAAGCGCAGCGAUGCGUUGAGCUAACCGGUACUAAUGAACCGUGAGGCUUAACCU